CGGACGACGCUGGCGGCGUGCUUAACACAUGCAAGUCGAACGGUGACGAGGAGCUUGCUCCUCUGAUCAGUGGCGAACGGGUGAGUAACACGUGAGCAACCUGCCCCAGACUCUGGGAUAACAGUUGGAAACAGCUGCUAAUACCGGAUACGAGACGGAGAGGCAUCUCUACCGUCUGGAAAGUUUUUCGGUCUGGGAUGGACUCGCGGCCUAUCAGCUAGUUGGUGAGGUAAUGGCUCACCAAGGCGACGACGGGUAGCCGGCCUGAGAGGGCGACCGGCCACACUGGGACUGAGACACGGCCCAGACUCCUACGGGAGGCAGCAGUGGGGAAUAUUGCGCAAUGAGCGAAAGCUUGACGCAGCAACGCCGCGUGGGCGACGAAGGUCUUCGGAUCGUAAAGCCCUUUUCUAGAGGAAGAGGAAGGACAGUACUCUGGGAAUAAGUCUCGGCUAACUACGUG
Molecule: ribosomal RNA, 463 nt
Filed under: uncultured bacterium
Lineage: Bacteria
Description: bacterial SSU rRNA
Rfam family: Bacterial small subunit ribosomal RNA
Source: RNAcentral